This 253-nucleotide ribosomal RNA is filed under the name uncultured bacterium. RNAcentral describes it as "partial 16S ribosomal RNA". It matches the Rfam family "Bacterial small subunit ribosomal RNA", at positions 524 to 776 of the family's 1533-position model. The record is from RNAcentral.
UACGUAGGCAGCAAGCGUUGUUCGGAGUUACUGGGCGUAAAGAGUGCGUAGGCGGUCCUGUAAGUUUGGUGUGAAAUCUCCCGGCUCAACUGGGAGGGUGCGCCGAAGACUGCAGGGCUUGAGUAUGGGAGAGGUAAGCGGAAUUCCUGGUGUAGCGGUGAAAUGCGUAGAUAUCAGGAGGAACACCUGUGGUGUAGACAGCUUACUGGACCAUCACUGACGCUGAGACACGAAAGCGUGGGUAGCAAACAGG